RNAcentral lists this ribosomal RNA (274 nucleotides) under uncultured bacterium. RNAcentral describes it as "partial 16S ribosomal RNA". It matches the Rfam family "Bacterial small subunit ribosomal RNA", at positions 523 to 796 of the family's 1533-position model. The record is from RNAcentral.
AUACGAAGGGGGCAAGCGUUGUUCGGAAUAACUGGGCGUAAAGCGCACGUAGGCGGAAUGUUAAGUUAGAGGUGAAAUCCCAGGGCUCAACCCUGGAACUGCCUUUAAUACUGGCAAUCUAGAGACCGAGAGAGGUGAGUGGAAUUCCGAGUGUAGGGGUGAAAUUCGUAGAUAUUCGGAGGAACACCAGUGGCGAAGGCGGCUCACUGGCUCGGUACUGACGCUGAGGUGCGAAAGCGUGGGGAGCAAACAGGAUUAGAAACCCUAGUAGUCC